This 460-nucleotide ribosomal RNA is filed under the name uncultured bacterium. RNAcentral describes it as "partial 16S ribosomal RNA". It matches the Rfam family "Bacterial small subunit ribosomal RNA", at positions 338 to 795 of the family's 1533-position model. The record is from RNAcentral.
CCUACGGGUGGCAGCAGUGAGGAAUAUUGGUCAAUGGACGAGAGUCUGAACCAGCCAAGUCGCGUGAAGGAUGACUGUCCUAUGGGUUGUAACCUUCUUUUAUAUGGGAAUAAAAUGCUCCACGUGUGGGAUUUUGUAUGUACCAUACGAAUAAGGAUCGGCUAACUCCGUGCCAGCAGCCGCGGUAAUACGGAGGAUCUGAGCGUUAUCCGGAUUUAUUGGGUUUAAAGGGAGCGUAGGUGGAUUGUUAAGUCAGUUGUGAAAGUUUGCGGCUCAACCGUAGAAUUGCAGUUGAAACUGGUAUUCUAGAGUACAGUAGAGGUAGGCGGAAUUCGUGGUGUAGCGGUGAAAUGCUUAGAGAUCACGAAGAACUCCGAUUGCGAAGGCAGUUCACUGGACUGCAACUGACGCUGAGGCGCGAAAGUGUGGGGAUCAAACAGGAUUAGAUACCCUUGUAGUC